GUUCUUGUAGUAAAAUACUUACAGUGGUUCUUCAAGUCAUUGAUCUUGGUUUAAGUCCGAGCAGGAAUU
This 69-nucleotide transfer RNA is filed under the name Brevibora dorsiocellata (eyespot rasbora). RNAcentral's name for it is "tRNA-Glu". The record is from RNAcentral. Lineage: Eukaryota; Metazoa; Chordata; Actinopteri; Cypriniformes; Danionidae.